RNAcentral lists this ribosomal RNA (648 nucleotides) under uncultured Microbulbifer sp. RNAcentral's name for it is "bacterial SSU rRNA". It matches the Rfam family "Bacterial small subunit ribosomal RNA", at positions 886 to 1532 of the family's 1533-position model. The record is from RNAcentral. Lineage: Bacteria; Pseudomonadati; Pseudomonadota; Gammaproteobacteria; Cellvibrionales; Microbulbiferaceae.
CCGCAAGGUUAAAACUCAAAUGAAUUGACGGGGGCCCGCACAAGCAGUGGAGCAUGUGGUUUAAUUCGAUGCAACGCGAAGAACCUUACCAGGCCUUGACAUCCUCGGAACUUUCUAGAGAUAGAUUGGUGCCUUCGGGAACCGAGUGACAGGUGCUGCAUGGCUGUCGUCAGCUCGUGUCGUGAGAUGUUGGGUUAAGUUCCCGUAACGAGCGCAACCCUUGUCCUUAGUUGCCAGCACAUAAUGGUGGGAACUCUAAGGAGACUGCCGGUGACAAACCGGAGGAAGGUGGGGACGACGUCAAGUCAUCAUGGCCCUUACGGCCUGGGCUACACACGUGCUACAAUGGCUAGGACAGACGGCCGCAAACCCGCGAGGGGGAGCCAAUCCGACAAACCUAGUCGUAGUCCGGAUCAGAGUCUGCAACUCGACUCCGUGAAGUCGGAAUUGCUAGUAAUCGCGAAUCAGAAUGUCGCGGUGAAUACGUUCCCGGGCCUUGUACACACCGCCCGUCACACCAUGGGAGUGGGUUGCUCCAGAAGUGGUUAGUCUAACCUUCGGGAGGACGAUCACCACGGAGUGAUUCAUGACUGGGGUGAAGUCGUAACAAGGUAGCCCUAGGGGAACCUGCGGCUGGAUCACCUCCUU